This 3625-nucleotide long non-coding RNA is filed under the name Homo sapiens (human). Its description in RNAcentral is "HSALNT0218274". The record is from RNAcentral. Lineage: Eukaryota; Metazoa; Chordata; Mammalia; Primates; Hominidae.
AUAAACAAAAGCUCUUUGGGUUCUCAACAAUUUUUAAGAGUCCAAGGAAUCCUAAGAGCAAAAAGCUUGUUGAGUAACCACUGUUGUAUACCAUUGAUUAUGGUCUUGCUGAAACAAAAAGCAAAAUGUGCCUUUAUGGGUGACUGGCCCCAGGAAUUGGGAACAGCUUAGAGUGGCCAUGGAACCUCGAGUCCUCUCCUUCUUGCUAAUGGCUAAAUUCACACCAGAAGCCAUGUUGUGUAUAUAUUUUUUUAUCUUCUACAGAAUCCAGCAAGACUUUGAAUGCCGGAUACAUACUCUGUAGGAGCUUCUCUCGCUAGAGCAGAAAGGACACAGCAUUGGCCGGGCAGCAUGUUUGUUUGUUUGCCCUGAGUCCUGGGGCAGCUAGUUAUCUUGGGCAGAGUUAGUUUUCGGGUCUGGAGCCAGGAAAACACACUCCUUAAUGCCCACAUAUUUGCAGUGCGACACAUAGCUUGGAAGCUUGUCACACCUAUUGCAACCGCUGCGUGACCUGUCUCCCAGGAAAGAUUGUCUCCAUGAGAUAUUCUUAGGGAUGAAUGCGGUGAGAAACGUGUACACCACUCGGGACAGCAGCCACAUAACUUCAGAGGUUCGUCCGCUCACAGGCCCCUGCGGUCUGGGCUGUGCCGGUGGUCUGCCUAGGAAACUGCCUUCAGUACGCAGGGGACUGUGAGUUGCCCAGUAGCUGCAUUUGAGAAUCAAAGCACCGAUUUCAGGCAGCGAUAGGCUGUUUGUCUGGAGACGGGCGUGGAGACUCUGCUUUCAUGUUCGCCUGCUGAAGGAAUAGAAGGCAGGAUGAACUCAGACUGAAUGGCUGGCUCUGAUAUGUGUUUGAAUGAAAACCAAAGUAAACACCACCAUUUCACCAAUGGCACACAGAUGGACUCCUGCUUGACGCCACGAGAGGAAAACUAAAAAUGAAAUCAGCCAGAAUAACUAUUUUUGUUAUUAGUUAUAAUGAUUUUAAAACAAGCAAUUCUAUUGUUUUAAAAGAGAGCAUCAAAAUAACAGGAAAAUUGGAAAGAAAGUAGCAAUGUUAUAUAAUGUCUGAAAAUAAGCUAAAAAGAAUGCACAUGAUUUCAGUGGAAGAAUAAAAGUCCAAGGAAAGGAUAUAACAAAACUUUUUGUAUGUGUCACAAGCUGCUCCCAUCACUACUGAAGACAAAAGAGGAGAAAGUGGGUUUGUACUAUACUGCUAGGAAUUUGGGUUAGACCAUGAGAGCACAGUUGCUAUAAUAACAGUGGGGAAGCGAACAGGGACAGUAAUGGGAUGAUGCCUCAUGAGGGUCCCUGUGUGUUUGGAGUGGCUCAGGGCCUCCUUUCCAUCUUAGGCAGUGAGUUACAAAUAUUGCAGUGCGUUACUUUCUACAUAAUUAUUUAACCUAAAGAAACACUUAAAUGAUGACCACCGCCUGCAAUGAGGCAAUAGCAAGGAUUAAAAAUAGCCAAGGCAAGGCAUUAAAAUAUCAGGUAGCAAACAGUUAAUAUAUGUCCUUAAUGAAUGAAACAAGUUUUUCGGAAGCAAGAAACUAUGACUAGGAAGACUUGGAAAAUUGUAGGCUUGUGUGUGCUGAUUCUAAUUUUCCAUUGUAUAUGUUCUUGUUUGUAAUUCCUUUCCCGCCCCUCAACCAUUUAGGGCUCACUCUAGAUUUUAACCCCUCCGGAGUCUCACACUUCCACAUAAUUAGGUUAGGUCGCCCUCUGGUGGCACAGAGCUAAUCUAUCUUCUGAUAAAGCCUGUGUAUCCUCUGCAAUGCCUUAGAUUUGAGCUAAUUAAAUAUUCUGUUGGCGCUAUCAUAUGUUGCAAAUACAAACUGAUACUUUUUAAUGGAAUGAAGAAACACUAAAGACCUAAUUACAGUUUCUGUUUCAUUUCUUGUAAAGACUUCAGGAAGCAAUUUGGGAUCUUGAAGAACCUAAGUAAUAUUCACUGUACUGUUCUAUCAGAAAUAUGUCAUUAAUAGGGAUUCUGUGUUACUGAGAUUGAUAGCAUGUUUGAUAAAUACGCUUUCAUUGUUAAUGGCAAAUAAAACACUCUGGCUUAUAAAAAGAUGACCUCAGCCAGGACAAUCUUCAUAAACCUACUUGAAAUGGACUUGAAAAAUAAAAAGGGCCAAUAAUCACUGCAAAUAUACAGGAGGUGAGAAAAAAUUUUAAUAAGUGAAUAAUUGAAUUUUGAAAAUUGUCCAAGCAACAGGCUUAAUCAGCAGGCAGGGUGCUAGUGCUGAUACCGUCUAUCUAGCUCUGUGGUCUUGGAUUCCAUUAGAUGUACCAAUAGCCUUAAGCUAGAUUUACGAUUUUUUCUUAAACUACCUACAAUGUUACUUGUAACCCAAAGAAUCUCAAUUAAUAAAUGCUCUCCAGAAGACUACAAUCAGCAGAGACCCAAUAAUAUAUACAUAUACAUUAUAAAGGCAAUUUAAACAACAAAUAGCCAGGAAGACUUCCUCAAUUAUUCGGAAUACAUUGGGAAACAUGGCAGAAGUGAGCAUCAGAUUUAACAUGUAAUAGGCACAGCUAUGAGGAGAGAGGCUGAUAUUUAAUCUCAAGCUCAGAUUUUGAGGAAAAGGGCUGUGAUGGAUCUGGCUUUGGUCAGGAGCUCACCCUGCUAUUACUGUAGCUGUGAAUAGGGUAAAUCAGGUGGGAUUUGGGGCUGCAGCACGUAACCCAACAGAUGUGAACUGCGAGGACAAAUUCAUAUCAAUCCUAGGGGGAAUAAAGGAAUAGUAUCUUGCUUUAAGCCCUGACAAACAUGUGUUUAUGCUACUUCUGCUACUGUUAAUAAUUAAUAGUGAAGUUGGUAUUUUUUCUCACAUUGAAAUUAGGCAGUAUAACUAAAGCCAUAUUAUUGAGUUAAUGUAUUCUAACCCAUGCCACAAAAAGAUUUUAUGGCCCUGUGAAGAUUUCUUACAAAGAAUAUGGCAUAGUAAAAAAAAUUAAUCUCAGAUAAAAAUGCAUCUGAGCCUUCAAUGUCAGCUAUAAAAUUCCAUAAUUUGAAAAAAAGUUAAAUUUUAAUAGAAGGAUUUGAGACAGGAACAAAUAUCAUUAACAAAAUACUGUUUUACUGUUUUUGCCUAACAUUUGUACGUUUCCAGCGUCUUUAAAUUACACAUUUACUAUUUCCUCUAACACUGCAGGUAGUCGGAUCCUUAGUUAAUGUUCGUUUCAUUAAUUGGAGAAAGAAAUUGAAGGAUUUCUCAAGAUCACAUAAAAUCUCUUAGAGAAGUCCACAUGGUUUUUGUUUGAUCCAUCUAUUCAUCUAUCCAUCCAUCCAUUCAUCCAUCCAUCCAUACAUUCAUACAUUUAUUCAUCAGAUGCCUAUUGAGCAAGUCUGUAUAAUAUGUAUGUACUGUUACAAGGGUAGCAAAGGUGAAUUAGAUAUAAUAUCCCUGUAUUCAAGGAGCUUGCAAUAUAGUAGGACCAAUAAGACAUGUAUAAAUUUAGAAAAUAGGCUGACAUGGGUGCUUUAUACAUUAACAGGAUUGGAAUUUCAGAAGCUAAAGGGAUCUUACAGAUUAUGUAGUCCAAUCUAUCUCAAGAGUACAUAAAUAUUCUGUAGAAUAUCUAGUAUCCAAGAAUUGUUCCUAACACUCUUAAAAAAUAU